RNAcentral lists this ribosomal RNA (253 nucleotides) under uncultured bacterium. Its description in RNAcentral is "partial 16S ribosomal RNA". It matches the Rfam family "Bacterial small subunit ribosomal RNA", at positions 524 to 776 of the family's 1533-position model. The record is from RNAcentral.
GAUGAACCGUCCAAACGUUAUUCGGAAUCACUGGGCUUAAAGGGUGCGUAGGCGGCGCGGAAAGUUGGGUGUGAAAUCCCUCAGCUCAACCGAGGAACUGCGCCCAAAACUACCGUGCUCGAGGGAGAUAGAGGUGAGCGGAACCUAGGGUGGAGCGGUGAAGUGCGUUGAUAUCCUAAGGAACACCGGUGGCGAAAGCGGCUCACUGGAUCUCUUCUGACGCUGAGGCACGAAAGCUAGGGUAGCAAACGGG